Molecule: transfer RNA, 73 nt
Filed under: Planctomycetaceae bacterium
Lineage: Bacteria; Pseudomonadati; Planctomycetota; Planctomycetia; Planctomycetales; Planctomycetaceae
Description: tRNA-Phe
Rfam family: tRNA
About the family: Transfer RNA (tRNA) molecules are approximately 80 nucleotides in length. Their secondary structure includes four short double-helical elements and three loops (D, anti-codon, and T loops).
Source: RNAcentral
GGGUCGGUAGCUGAGACGGUGCAAGCGCCUGGCUGAAGACCAGGAGACGAGGAUUCGAGCGCCUCACGACCCA